RNAcentral lists this ribosomal RNA (945 nucleotides) under Triticum aestivum (bread wheat). RNAcentral describes it as "partial small subunit ribosomal RNA". Lineage: Eukaryota; Viridiplantae; Streptophyta; Magnoliopsida; Poales; Poaceae. The record is from RNAcentral.
AUGGCACCAGAUCCACUGAAUAAUGCUUCAAAUUCUUCCUAUAUGAUACUUCGAGUGUUGUUCUUUCGUUUGGUCCUUGGUCUUCAAGUUGAGUCUUCCCUUUCCAUGGAGAUAAUUGCCUUUUGGUUGUGGCUCCAACAAGGGAAUGGCCAAGUUGGUUACCUUCAGCACAUAUACUCUCUUGGUGACAACCAUUUUCGCGUAAUUGUUUCUUCUGCAAAACGUUUUCUGGAAGUUCUCCAUUUUGCGUUCGGUGGUUCAGAGGCCAGAUCUAUACCAAGAAGUGACUUUCAGAACCAAGCUAUUGAAGGAAUUUCUCUCUACCUCAAUACUAUCUGUUAUGAGGCCUUAGAAGAUCUUCGAGAAAGGAUAGAGAUGAAUUUUGUCCGUAAUCAGAUGACAUACCUGCGCCAAGAAGCCUAUGGACAGUCCAGGACUGAUCGGGUUCCUGCUGCAAGCUCGAUGACGGAUCUAUACCAAGAGGCCUAUGGAGAAUCAUCGCAUGAACAAAUUCCUAAUAUCUCAAAACACCUUCUUACCAAGAUCAAGGCUUUGUAUUCUAAUAAUCCGAAGCAUCAUGGAGAAGGCACAAGUUCUAGAAAUAUCCGUGUUCAAACAAGUCAAAUAUGUCAUGGAGAAGGCUCAAGUUCAAGAAAUAUCCAUCCUCAAACGAGUCGUAUGCUCCACCAUGAUACAGAGGACGAAGUAUAUGAUUAUCAGCCAACCUGCCAUUUGGUCACAUUGCUGGAUAAGUUGAGCUUAAGAGAGAACCAUAAUGAUGCAAUCACGCAACGCCUAUCUGAUGUUCCACCUGAUGAGAGAACUUUGUUCGUGACAUUUUCUAAUGGCUAUCCACUGACCAAGGAUGAACUACACGAAUUUUUUAUGAGGUAUGCCUAUCAUUUCAGGUUUUAUUACAUAUGUAAAUUCACCAUUAUUUGUUAG